AUCCUGAAGGACACGCAGGUGACUCGACAGGCCUUAAAUGAGAUCUCGGCCCGGCACAGUGAGAUCCAGCAGCUUGAACGCAGUAUUCGUGAGCUGCACGACAUCUUCACUUUUCUGGCUACUGAAGUGGAGAUGCAGGGGGAGAUGAUCAAUCGGAUUGAGAAGAACAUCCUGAGCUCAGCGGACUACGUGGAACGCGGGCAAGAGCACGUCAAGACGGCCCUGGAGAACCAGAAGAAGGCGAGGAAGGUGAGCCUCCCAGGCCCGGCCACUGUCCCAGGCACCCUGUGUGUCUUCCCUGACCCCCUCCUCUCCCACAGAAGAAAGUCUUGAUUGCCAUCUGUGUGUCCAUCACCGUCGUCCUCCUAGCAGUCAUCAUUGGCAUCACAGUGGUUGGAUAAUGUCGCACAUUGUUGGUGAGAUGUUGUGGGCUGUCCCCUGGCCUGCCCCAGCCCUGGCCCCAGCCCUCCCUCCUCCCUCAGACCCUGUUCUCCCUCCUUUCCUUACAGGCACUAGGAGCACCAGGGACCCAGGGCCUGGCCUUCUGUCCCAGCAGCCUGGGGGGCAGGGCAGAGCCUCCAGUCGGACCCCUUCCUCACACUGGCCCCUA
Molecule: small RNA, 610 nt
Filed under: Pongo abelii (Sumatran orangutan)
Lineage: Eukaryota; Metazoa; Chordata; Mammalia; Primates; Hominidae
Description: retained intron
Source: RNAcentral